CACACACACACACACACACACACACACAUACACACAGCACGUCUCCGUCCUUCCGAAGAGAGACGACAACUGGCAGGAACUCUUUCUACUCGGAAACCUUACGCCCGCUGUGUUGAUGACACACCGUUAGCAAAAGCCACAGUGGAGGAGGGAAAGAGCUGCAUGUGGCUCCAUAGCCUCAGGUUGGAGAUCUCGGAUCUAGUCUCAAUCCAUUCAUGUCCUGCUGGAUCUGUACACUGCACAAGACCGCUCAGUGUCAUGGCCAUGCCUCAGCCUCACAGGUAAUCUGCCUUAGCAGGAGCUGCCCUGCAGAGCUGUGCCAGAAGAUCUCCUGCCUUUUACGUGACUCCAGCCUGCCAAAGCUGCCGUCCUCUGCGCCCCAUUUUGCCUGCAUGAACUUUGUCAGGAUGGACUUGGACCAACCUGGACUCACCUGAUGAACCAGCACCCAUCCUGCCCACGUCUCUUGUUCUGGCUCCAGUGCAGUGGGACAUCAUGACCCAACUCAGAGACAUUAACGCGGCCUAUCCUCCACCUCCAUCCUGUCCGGCUGAUCGUAUGCUGAUGUGGCGCAGUUCGUCACCGACUGCGGCGUCUGCCAAUCAUCGAAAUCUCCAAGACAACUCCCGGCAGGGCUCCUGCAACCACUUCCUGUGCCCCGACGCCCCUGGACCCAUAUAGCUGUGGACUUUAUCACCGAUCUACCUUCCUCACAAGGUAACACAACCAUUCUAACUGUCAUCGAUUGAUUCUCAAAAUCCUGCUGUCUGCUACCACUCCCCAAGUUACCCACAGCCAUGGAGACCGCAGAGCAGCUACUCCAACAUGUCUUCCGGCACUAUGGACUCCCGGAAGACAUCGUCUCAGACCGGGGACCCCAAUUCACAUCUAGGGUCUGGCAGGCAUUCUGUAAGGGGCUCAACAUCAAUGUCAGCCUCACCUUCGGUUAUCAUCCACAAUCCAACGGCCAGGUGGAACGUCUCAACCAAGAGAUCACCAGGUUCUUCAUAUUGUGGUCAACAUCAGCACGAGUGGAGCAAGUAUCUGGUGUGGGCUGAAUACGCGCAGAACUCCCUCAAGAAGGCAUCCACCGGCCUCACACCAUUCCAGUGUGUCUUGGGCAUCCAGCCUCCCUUCUUCCCCUGGUCUGGAGAACCAUCUAAUCUGCAAGCAGUGAAUGAAAGGUUCAGAGGGUGCAAGGAAACGUGGAGAGCCGCCCAUAUCCAGUUACAGCAUGCUCUUCCACCUGAGUACCGGAUUUCCCCUACGUUCCACAUGUCACUUCUCAAACCCGCCAACGGACCUAGUGACACUACCCCGGACUCGGGCCCCGACGAGUCUCCCCUCAUCAUAGGAGGAGGCAUAUAGAGCCAACGCCAUCCUGGACUCCAGACGUCGUGGGGGACAUCUGCAGUACCUCAUCGACUGGGAGGGUACGGUCCUGAGGAACGUUCCUGGGUUGCAGCCGACGACAUCCUGGACCCAGCUCUCACGGCCUACUUUCACCGGGACCAUCCUGACAGGCCGGCCCCUCGACCACGUGGACGUCCACGGCGUCGUCAGCAUCCUCGCUUCCGGAGCCGGUCGCAGGAGGGGGGCUCUGUCAGGAUUCCCCCAUCAGGCACCACAUCCGACCACCAGAGGGAGCCCUCGCCUGAGUACUGACCCUGCACUCCCUCUCCACUCUCACCUCAUUGCGAAGUUUUGUACUGCCUGGCAUACAUCUCUGAGCGUUUCUCCUUGUUUCUCCUCCUGGUUUUUGAUCUCUGCCUGUCUCCUCGGUUACCUGCCUGCCUCCUGCCUCGACCCACGCCUGGACUCUGACUACGCUUAUGUCUUGCCCUUGUCCAAUAUACCAUAUGCUUAUGGAUCCAAACGUCCCUGCCUCUUCAUCACAAGUACGAAACUAUGACGUCCGACUUAUAACAGCAGCAUUAAAAAGACCUUAUAAAAAUGUAAAUAAAUAUAACUUCCACCAAGUGGGAGGAAACUGCAUUCAGGUCCCGCAGCCUUCGCGGCCCACAGGUUCAGGACAGAAUUUUUUUCGCGGCCCAAUAGGGGGCGCUCGCGGACCAAGAUUGGUUAAGAAUCACUGUUAUAGACCUUACAUGUCUUUAG
This is a long non-coding RNA of Oryzias melastigma (Indian medaka), 2118 nucleotides long. RefSeq lists it as uncharacterized. Lineage: Eukaryota; Metazoa; Chordata; Actinopteri; Beloniformes; Adrianichthyidae. The record is from RefSeq and is a predicted model, not a curated record. The transcript is spliced from 4 exons.